This 274-nucleotide ribosomal RNA is filed under the name uncultured bacterium. RNAcentral describes it as "partial 16S ribosomal RNA". It matches the Rfam family "Bacterial small subunit ribosomal RNA", at positions 523 to 796 of the family's 1533-position model. The record is from RNAcentral.
AUACGGAGGGUGCAAGCGUUACUCGGAAUCACUGGGCGUAAAGCGCGCGCAGGCGGCUAUUUAAGUUGGAUGUGAAAGCCUACGGCUCAACCGUAGAACUGCAUCCAAAACUAUUUAGCUAGAGUGUGGGAGAGGAAGAUGGAAUUAGUUGUGUAGGGGUAAAAUCCGUAGAGAUAACUAGGAAUACCAAAAGCGAAGGCAAUCUUCUGGAACACUACUGACGCCGAGGCGCGAAAGCGUGGGGAGCAAACAGGAUUAGAAACCCUAGUAGUCC